UACGGGGGGAGCAAGCGUUGUUCGGAUUUACUGGGCGUAAAGGGCGCGUAGGCGGUCAGCACAAGUCAGUUGUGAAAUCUCCGGGCUUAACUCGGAAAGGUCAACUGAUACUGUGCGACUAGAGUGCGGAAGGGGCAACUGGAAUUCUCGGUGUAGAGGUGAAAUUCGUAGAUAUCGAGAGGAACACCGGUGGCGAAGGCGGCCAACUGGACGAACACUGACGCUGAGACACGAAAGCGUGGGGAGCAAACAGG
This 254-nucleotide ribosomal RNA is filed under the name uncultured bacterium. Its description in RNAcentral is "partial 16S ribosomal RNA". It matches the Rfam family "Bacterial small subunit ribosomal RNA", at positions 524 to 776 of the family's 1533-position model. The record is from RNAcentral.